Molecule: ribosomal RNA, 468 nt
Filed under: uncultured bacterium
Lineage: Bacteria
Description: partial 16S ribosomal RNA
Rfam family: Bacterial small subunit ribosomal RNA
Source: RNAcentral
GACGAACGCUGGCGGCGUGCUUAACACAUGCAAGUCGAACGGAAAGGCCCUGCUUUUGUGGGGUGCUCGAGUGGCGAACGGGUGAGUAACACGUGAGUAACCUGCCCUUGACUUUGGGAUAACUUCAGGAAACUGGGGCUAAUACCGGAUAGGAGCUCCUGCUGCAUGGUGGGGGUUGGAAAGUUUCGGCGGUUGGGGAUGGACUCGCGGCUUAUCAGCUUGUUGGUGGGGUAGUGGCUUACCAAGGCUCUGACGGGUAGCCGGCCUGAGAGGGUGACCGGCCACAUUGGGACUUGGAGACGCCCCAGACUCCUACGGGAGGCAGCAGUGGGGAACAUUGCACAAUGGGCGGACGCCUGAUGCAGCAACGCCGGGUGCGGGAUGACGGCCUUCGGGUUGUAAACCGCUUUCUCCUGUGACGAGGCGUGAGUGACGGUAAUGGGUAAAGAAGCACCGGCUAACUACGUG